RNAcentral lists this transfer RNA (82 nucleotides) under Bacteroidales bacterium. RNAcentral describes it as "tRNA-Tyr". It matches the Rfam family "tRNA". Rfam says of the family: Transfer RNA (tRNA) molecules are approximately 80 nucleotides in length. The record is from RNAcentral. RNAcentral also lists the same sequence under 1 other name. Lineage: Bacteria; Pseudomonadati; Bacteroidota; Bacteroidia; Bacteroidales.
GGGAGAGUUCCAGAGCGGUCAAAUGGGACAGACUGUAAAUCUGCUGGCUAAGCCUUCGGAGGUUCGAAUCCUUCCUCUCCCA